UUAAGCGACUAAGCGUACACGGUGGAUGCCCUGGCAGUCAGAGGCGAUGAAGGACGUGCUAAUCUGCGAAAAGCGUCGGUAAGGUGAUAUGAACCGUUAUAACCGGCGAUGUCCGAAUGGGGAAACCCAGUGUGAUUCGUCACACUAUCGUUAACUGAAUACAUAGGUUAACGAGGCGAACCGGGGGAACUGAAACAUCUAAGUACCCCGAGGAAAAGAAAUCAACCGAGAUUCCCCCAGUAGCGGCGAGCGAACGGGGAGCAGCCCAGAGUCUGAAUCAGCUUGUGUGUUAGUGGAACGGUCUGGAAAGUCCGACGGUACAGGGUGAUAGUCCCGUACACCAAAAUGCACAGGUUGUGAACUCGAAGAGUAGGGCGGGACACGUGGUAUCCUGUCUGAAUAUGGGGGGACCAUCCUCCAAGGCUAAAUACUCCUGACUGACCGAUAGUGAACCAGUACCGUGAGGGAAAGGCGAAAAGAACCCCGGCGAGGGGAGUGAAAAAGAACCUGAAACCGUGUACGUACAAGCAGUGGGAGCACCUUCGGGUGUGACUGCGUACCUUUUGUAUAAUGGGUCAGCGACUUAUAUUCUGUAGCAAGGUUAACCGUAUAGGGGAGCCGCAGGGAAACCGAGUCUUAACUGGGCGUUAAGUUGCAGGGUAUAGACCCGAAACCCGGUGAUCUAGCCAUGGGCAGGUUGAAGGUUGGGUAACACUAACUGGAGGACCGAACCGACUAAUGUUGAAAAAUUAGCGGAUGACUUGUGGCUGGGGGUGAAAGGCCAAUCAAACCGGGAGAUAGCUGGUUCUCCCCGAAAGCUAUUUAGGUAGCGCCUCGUGAACUCAUCUUCGGGGGUAGAGCACUGUUUCGGCUAGGGGGUCAUCCCGACUUACCAACCCGAUGCAAACUACGAAUACCGAAGAAUGUUAUCACGGGAGACACACGGCGGGUGCUAACGUCCGUCGUGAAGAGGGAAACAACCCAGACCGCCAGCUAAGGUCCCAAAGUCAUGGUUAAGUGGGAAACGAUGUGGGAAGGCACAGACAGCCAGGAUGUUGGCUUAGAAGCAGCCAUCAUUUAAAGAAAGCGUAAUAGCUCACUGGUCGAGUCGGCCUGCGCGGAAGAUGUAACGGGGCUAAACCAUGCACCGAAGCUGCGGCAGCGACACUAUGUGUUGUUGGGUAGGGGAGCGUUCUGUAAGCCUGCGAAGGUGUGCUGUGAGGCAUGCUGGAGGUAUCAGAAGUGCGAAUGCUGACAUAAGUAACGAUAAAGCGGGUGAAAAGCCCGCUCGCCGGAAGACCAAGGGUUCCUGUCCAACGUUAAUCGGGGCAGGGUGAGUCGACCCCUAAGGCGAGGCCGAAAGGCGUAGUCGAUGGGAAACAGGUUAAUAUUCCUGUACUUGGUGUUACUGCGAAGGGGGGACGGAGAAGGCUAUGUUAGCCGGGCGACGGUUGUCCCGGUUUAAGCAUGUAGGCUGGUUAUCCAGGCAAAUCCGGAUAAUCAAGGCUGAGGUGUGAUGACGAGGCACUACGGUGCUGAAGUAACAAAUGCCCUGCUUCCAGGAAAAGCCUCUAAGCAUCAGGUAACAUCAAAUCGUACCCCAAACCGACACAGGUGGUCAGGUAGAGAAUACCAAGGCGCUUGAGAGAACUCGGGUGAAGGAACUAGGCAAAAUGGUGCCGUAACUUCGGGAGAAGGCACGCUGGUGUGUAGGUGAAGUCCCUGCGGAUGGAGCUGAGACCAGUCGAAGAUACCAGCUGGCUGCAACUGUUUAUUAAAAACACAGCACUGUGCAAACACGAAAGUGGACGUAUACGGUGUGACGCCUGCCCGGUGCCGGAAGGUUAAUUGAUGGGGUUAUCCGUAAGGAGAAGCUCUUGAUCGAAGCCCCGGUAAACGGCGGCCGUAACUAUAACGGUCCUAAGGUAGCGAAAUUCCUUGUCGGGUAAGUUCCGACCUGCACGAAUGGCGUAAUGAUGGCCAGGCUGUCUCCACCCGAGACUCAGUGAAAUUGAACUCGCUGUGAAGAUGCAGUGUACCCGCGGCAAGACGGAAAGACCCCGUGAACCUUUACUAUAGCUUGACACUGAACAUUGAGCCUUGAUGUGUAGGAUAGGUGGGAGGCUUUGAAGCGUGGACGCCAGUCUGCGUGGAGCCAACCUUGAAAUACCACCCUUUAAUGUUUGAUGUUCUAACGUUGGCCCCUGACCGGGGUUGCGGACAGUGUCUGGUGGGUAGUUUGACUGGGGCGGUCUCCUCCCAAAGCGUAACGGAGGAGCACGAAGGUUAGCUAAUCCUGGUCGGACAUCAGGAGGUUAGUGCAAUGGCAUAAGCUAGCUUGACUGCGAGCGUGACGGCGCGAGCAGGUGCGAAAGCAGGUCAUAGUGAUCCGGUGGUUCUGAAUGGAAGGGCCAUCGCUCAACGGAUAAAAGGUACUCCGGGGAUAACAGGCUGAUACCGCCCAAGAGUUCAUAUCGACGGCGGUGUUUGGCACCUCGAUGUCGGCUCAUCACAUCCUGGGGCUGAAGUAGGUCCCAAGGGUAUGGCUGUUCGCCAUUUAAAGUGGUACGCGAGCUGGGUUUAGAACGUCGUGAGACAGUUCGGUCCCUAUCUGCCGUGGGCGCUGGAGAAUUGAGGGGGGCUGCUCCUAGUACGAGAGGACCGGAGUGGACGCAUCACUGGUGUUCGGGUUGUCAUGCCAAUGGCACUGCCCGGUAGCUAAAUGCGGAAGAGAUAAGUGCUGAAAGCAUCUAAGCACGAAACUUGCCCCGAGAUGAGUUCUCCCUGAGACU
RNAcentral lists this ribosomal RNA (2792 nucleotides) under Klebsiella pneumoniae. RNAcentral describes it as "bacterial LSU rRNA". It matches the Rfam family "Bacterial large subunit ribosomal RNA". The record is from RNAcentral. Lineage: Bacteria; Pseudomonadati; Pseudomonadota; Gammaproteobacteria; Enterobacterales; Enterobacteriaceae.